Molecule: long non-coding RNA, 1851 nt
Organism: Salvelinus fontinalis (brook trout)
Lineage: Eukaryota; Metazoa; Chordata; Actinopteri; Salmoniformes; Salmonidae
Exons: 3
Source: RefSeq, a predicted model, not a curated record
GGAGGUAGUGUUGGGCCAGUAGGGGGUAGUGUUGGGCCAGUGGGAGGUAGUGUUAGGCCAGUAGGAGGUAGUGUUGGGCCAGUAGGAGGUAGUGUUAGGCCAGUAGGAGGUAGUGUUAGGCCAGUAGGAGGUAGUGUUAGGCCAGUAGGAGGUAGUGUUAGGCCAGUAGGAGGUAGUGUUGGGCCAGUAGGAGGUAGUGUUGGGCCAGUGGGAGGUAGUGUUGGGCCAGUGGGAGGUAGUGUUGGGCCAGUGGGAGGUAGUGUUGGGCCAGUGGGAGGUAGUGUUGGGCCAGUGGGAGGUAGUGUUGGGCCAGUGGGAGGUAGUGUUGGGCCAGUGGGAGGUAGUGUUGGGCCAGUGGGAGGUAGUGUUAGGCCAGUAGGAGGUAGUGUUAGGCCAGUAGGAGGUAGUGUUAGGCCAGUAGGAGGUAGUGUUAGGAGGUAGUGUUGGGCCAGUGGGAGGUAGUGUUAGGCCAGUGGGAGGUAGUGUUGGGCCAGUGGGAGGUAGUGUUGGGCCAGUAGGAGGUAGUGUUAGGCCAGUAGGAGGUAGUGUUAGGCCAGUAGGAGGUAGUGUUAGGCCAGUAGGAGGUAGUGUUAGGCCAGUAGGAGGUAGUGUUAGGCCAGUAGGAGGUAGUGUUAGGCCAGUAGGAGGUAGUGUUAGGCCAGUAGGAGGUAGUGUUAGGAGGUAGUGUUGGGCCAGUGGGAGGUAGUGUUAGGCCAGUAGGAGGUAGUGUUGGGCCAGUAGGAGGUAGUGUUAGGCCAGUAGGAGGUAGUGUUAGGCCAGUAGGAGGUAGUGUUAGGCCAGUAGGAGGUAGUGUUAGGCCAGUAGGAGGUAGUGUUAGGCCAGUAGGAGGUAGUGUUAGGCCAGUAGGAGGUAGUGUUAGGAGGUAGUGUUGGGCCAGUGGGAGGUAGUGUUAGGCCAGUAGGAGGUAGUGUUGGGCCAGUAGGAGGUAGUGUUAGGCCAGUAGGAGGUAGUGUUAGGCCAGUAGGAGGUAGUGUUAGGCCAGUAGAGGGUAGUGUUCGGCCAGUAGGAGGUAGUGUUCGGCCAGUAGGAGGUAGUGUUCGGCCAGUAGGAGGUAGUGUUGGGCCAGUAGGAGGUAGUGUUGGGCCAGUAGGAGGUAGUGUUGGGCCAGUAGGAGGUAGUGUUGGGCCAGUAGGAGGUAGUGUUGGGCCAGUAGGAGGUAGUGUUAGGCCAGUAGGAGGUAGUGUUAGGCCAGUAGGAGGUAGUGUUAGGCCAGUAGGAGGUAGUGUUAGGCCAGUAGGAGGUAGUGUUAGGCCAGUAGGAGGUAGUGUUAGGCCAGUAGGAGGUAGUGUUGGGCCAGUAGGAGGUAGUGUUGGGCCAGUGGGAGGUAGUGUUGGGCCAGUUGGAGGUAGUGUUGGGCCAGUGGGAGGUAGUGUUGGGCCAGUGGGAGGUAGUGUUAGGCCAGUAGGAGGUAGUGUUAGGCCAGUAGGAGGUAGUGUUAGGCCAGUAGGAGGUAGUGUUAGGAGGUAGUGUUGGGCCAGUGGGAGGUAGUGUUAGGCCAGUGGGAGGUAGUGUUGGGCCAGUGGGAGGUAGUGUUGGGCCAGUGGGAGGUAGUGUUGGGCCAGUAGGAGGUAGUGUUAGGCCAGUAGGAGGUAGUGUUAGGCCAGUAGGAGGUAGUGUUAGGCCAGUAGGAGGUAGUGUUAGGCCAGUAGGAGGUAGUGUUAGGCCAGUAGGAGGUAGUGUUAGGAGGUAGUGUUGGGCCAGUGGGAGGUAGUGUUAGGCCAGUAGGAGGUAGUGUUGGGCCAGUAGGAGGUAGUGUUAGGCCAGUAGGAGGUAGUGUUAGGCCAGUAGGAGGUAGUGUUAGGCCAGUAGGAGGUAGUGUUAGGCCAGUAG